GAUGAACGCUGGCGGCGUGCCUAAUACAUGCAAGUCGAGCGAACAGACGAGGAACUUGCUCCUCUGACGUUAGCGGCGGACGGGUGAGUAACACGUGGAUAACCUACCUAUAAGACUGGGAUAACUUCGGGAAACCGGAGCUAAUACCGGAUAAUAUAUUGAACCGCAUGGUUCAAUAGUGAAAGACGGUUUUGCUGUCACUUAUAGAUGGAUUCGCGCCGCAUUAGCUAGUUGGUAAGGUAACGGCUUACCAAGGCAACGAUGCGUAGCCGACCUGAGAGGGUGAUCGGCCACACUGGAACUGAGACACGGUCCAGACUCCUACGGGAGGCAGCAGUAGGGAAUCUUCCGCAAUGGGCGAAAGCCUGACGGAGCAACGCCGCGUGAGUGAUGAAGGUCUUCGGAUCGUAAAACUCUGUUAUUAGGGAAGAACAAAUGUGUAAGUAACUAUGCACGUCUUGACGGUACCUAAUCAGAAAGCCACGGCUAACUACGUG
This 497-nucleotide ribosomal RNA is filed under the name uncultured bacterium. Its description in RNAcentral is "partial 16S ribosomal RNA". It matches the Rfam family "Bacterial small subunit ribosomal RNA", at positions 28 to 507 of the family's 1533-position model. The record is from RNAcentral.